This 495-nucleotide ribosomal RNA is filed under the name uncultured bacterium. Its description in RNAcentral is "partial 16S ribosomal RNA". It matches the Rfam family "Bacterial small subunit ribosomal RNA", at positions 28 to 507 of the family's 1533-position model. The record is from RNAcentral.
GAUGAACGCUGGCGGCGUGCCUAAUACAUGCAAGUCGAGCGAACGGACGAGAAGCUUUCUUCUCUGAUGUUAUCGGCGGACGGGUGAUUAAUACGUGGAUAACCUACUUCUAAGACUUGGAUAACUUCGGGAUACCGUAGUUACUACCGGAUAAUAUUUUGAACCGCAUGGUUCAAAAGUGAAAGACGGUCUUUCUGUCACUUAUAGAUGGAUCCGCGCUGCAUUAGCUAGUUGGUAAGGUAACGGCUUACCAAGGCAACGAUGCAUAGCCGACCUGAGAGGGUGAGCGGCCACAACGGGAACGAGGAAAGGUCCAGACUUCUAAGGGAGGCAGCAGUAGGGAAUCAUCCGAAAUGGGCGAAAGGCGGAAGGAGCAACGGCGCGUGAGGGGUGAAGGUCUUCGGAGCGUAAAACUCUGUUAGUAGGGAAGAACAGAUGUGUAAGUAACUGUGCACAUCGUGACGAGACCUAAACAAAGCCACGGCUAACUACGUG